AUCCUGGCUCAGGACGAACGCUGGCGGCGUGCCUAACACAUGCAAGUCGAACGGAGAUACGCGCUGAAUGGAUGGAGCUUGCUUUUGAAAUUCUUGUGUAUCUUAGUGGCGGACGGGUGAGUAACGCGUGAGCAACCUGCCUUUCAGAGGGGGAUAACGUUUGGAAACGAACGCUAAUACCGCAUGAGACCACGGUACUGCAUAGUACAGUGGCCAAAGGAGCAAUCCGCUGAAAGAUGGGCUCGCGUCCGAUUAGAUAGUUGGCGGGGUAACGGCCCACCAAGUCGACGAUCGGUAGCCGGACUGAGAGGUUGAACGGCCACAUUGGGACUGAGACACGGCCCAGACUCCUACGGGAGGCAGCAGUGAGGGAUAUUGGUCAAUGGGGGAAACCCUGAACCAGCAACGCCGCGUGAGGGGAGACGGUUUUCGGAUUGUAAACCUCUGUCCUCUGUGAAGAUAAUGACGGUAGCAGAGGAGGAAGCUCCGGCUAACUACGUGCCAGCAGCCGCGGUAAUACGUAGGGAGCG
This 530-nucleotide ribosomal RNA is filed under the name uncultured bacterium. Its description in RNAcentral is "bacterial SSU rRNA". It matches the Rfam family "Bacterial small subunit ribosomal RNA", at positions 16 to 536 of the family's 1533-position model. The record is from RNAcentral.